GAUUGAUUCAAAACCUCCCUCUCAUUUUUCCUUUCCUGACAAACAUUUGGCUUAAUCUCGGAGUCCUCACUACAACCAGACUGAAAGUUGUAUGGUACGAUGCGAGGUGAUCCAGGUGUGAAGACUAAACUUUCAUUUAUCAAAGUUAUCUGAUGCUUUGGAUGUCUCACAAGGUCAUCAGUGUGCACACCUGCAUAACUUCCCUGCUCACAAGGGCCAGGAAAAGAUAAGGAUGUUGCUGUAUAAAGACAGAAGAGGCAGAAAGGACUACAAGUUUUCUGCUGGGAAAGAUGUGGAGACAUGUGAAAGGUCAGUCUGCGUUAACAUCUCAAAUUCCCAAAGAUGAUUGGUUGCAGCUAAGCAGAUUUCCCCUCCCCACAAGAACCUUCUGAGGUAGAUUUGUCCUCAUGGUAAUGACGGUCCCAAGAAGACUGAGUAGGGUUCAAGGUUUUAUGGAAAUUUGAACACAAUGUUUUGACAUCUCACAACCACAUAAACUGGAAAAGAUUUCAAAGACUGUGGCCAACAAAGCAGUUCACUCACAAUCCCUACCUCUCAGACAAAGAACUCAUUUGCUUUUGAGUGAGAACUGUUCAAAUCAUUGGGCUUUCCAGGGGGACGGCUGGUGCCCUGCCUCAAGACACAGAGAAAUGCUUAGCUUACUUCUGUUUUCUGAGGCAUUUCGACUUUCCCUUUUCUGAAACGUUAUCACCUUCAACUGCUUGAGCACGCUCUCUGUUUCGCUAGCAAUCUGUUACUGAUCUCCCACUUUCAUCCCUCCACAGAUAUAUCCUAAUGAAAUCAUUAUGGCAGAACUGUUGGUUUUCAUCCGCUUUUACUCCUUCAGUAUACGGUGAUAAUGAUCUCAUUUUAUUUUUUGAUACACUGACACUGCAGCUGUCUCUUUUUUCCCAUAAAAAACCUGAAUCCGUAUUUUAUGUUUAUUUAAACAAAUAUAUUUAAUUAUUCAAAUCACACUGCUUGUAUAAUCCUAUUCAAUGUGAAAACAUUUGAUUAUCAGAUAGCGG
Hemicordylus capensis (graceful crag lizard) is the source of this 1028-nucleotide long non-coding RNA. RefSeq lists it as uncharacterized. The record is from RefSeq and is a predicted model, not a curated record. NCBI's taxonomy places the organism in Eukaryota, Metazoa, Chordata, Lepidosauria, Squamata, Cordylidae. The transcript is spliced from 7 exons.